GCCCUGAUAGCUUAUAAUAACAAAGCGCUGACCUUGUAAAUCAGAGAUGGGAAGCAUACCCCUCAGAGCA
This 70-nucleotide transfer RNA is filed under the name Hemidactylus bowringii. RNAcentral describes it as "tRNA-Thr". It matches the Rfam family "tRNA". Rfam says of the family: Transfer RNA (tRNA) molecules are approximately 80 nucleotides in length. Their secondary structure includes four short double-helical elements and three loops (D, anti-codon, and T loops). The record is from RNAcentral. Lineage: Eukaryota; Metazoa; Chordata; Lepidosauria; Squamata; Gekkonidae.